This 23-nucleotide ribosomal RNA is filed under the name Dictyochloropsis splendida. RNAcentral describes it as "partial 26S ribosomal RNA". The record is from RNAcentral. Lineage: Eukaryota; Viridiplantae; Chlorophyta; Trebouxiophyceae; Trebouxiales; Trebouxiaceae.
ACCCGCUGAACUUAAGCAUAUGG